Oncorhynchus tshawytscha (Chinook salmon) is the source of this 1158-nucleotide long non-coding RNA. The record is from Ensembl. NCBI's taxonomy places the organism in Eukaryota, Metazoa, Chordata, Actinopteri, Salmoniformes, Salmonidae.
AAGUGCUGUUAUUGUGAAGUGGAAAUGUCUUGGAGCAACAACGGUCAGCUGCGAAAUGGUAGGCCGCACAAGCUCACAGAAGUGGACCGCCGAGUGCUGAAGUGCGUAACGUGUAAAAAUCGUCUCUCCCUGGCUGCAACACUCACUACCGAGUUCCAAACUGCCUCUGGUAGCAAUGUCAGGAUUGUAGGGAGAAGGCAGGAAUUACACCUAGAGUUUAAGACCUAGGUCCAAAGUUGUGGACAUUUUACAAAGGCACUCAAAACCACCUGUACAGAUACACGCCUCUUAAACCAACAAACAGAAUCAUUCAGAUUUGUUAUUCAUCCAUUAACUUUGUUAUUCAUACACAAACACACACAGGACCAGCAGAUGAGAGAGUGCCUGAAAUGACUUAUGGGGACAAUGCUGAUUCCAAUAUCCAAUCAAUUUCAGUCUGAGUUAAUGGGAAUAGACCAAAGGUCCUUUGUCCAUUACAAUGACCAUGAAUACACUGAACAAAAAUACAAACGCAACAAUUUCAAAGAUUUGAAUGAGGUACAGUUCAUACGCUCUGAAAAGUAGGGUUUCAAAGAGGGUUCUUCUAGGAUCCUCAGUUCUUUGAAGAACCUUAAGCUUCUUGGCACUGAAAAUUACAUCCAAAAGGUUCAUCCAAGAACCCCAUAGGAGGUGGGGUUCACCGAGGAACCUCCUUAGUUGGUGGGGGUUCUUGCAGGAACCUAACUGCCCAACUGAAAUAUUUGGAUUUUAAUUGGAAAGAACAGCAGGUGCAGGAACUUAAAUUAAAAAUGUCAAGAUCGCCUCAAUUUAAGAAAAUGGACCCAAUUCAAUGGAUAUCAACCAACAAAGAGGUAUACAGACGAGGAGGCAUACAAAGGUAUUGGUAUGUUAUGCAGAUCACGUUUAACAUCCUCCUCCUUUACCUCUUCAAUAAACAUCCCAUAGGCCUCUACAUUAUGGACAAGACUUCACCUUCCCUACACCUCUGAUUAAUAUAACAGGAAACCUGUUUGAUCACCAUGCACUGCAAAAUCAUUGUGGCUAUGGAUACGGAGAACAUCAUCACAUUAACAUCAACACGCCAGAGAACAUACCCAUUGGACUUGGGCUCUGCUGGGAGUUUACCUCAUAUUUAGAUGUUUUUAUUCUGCUGUGCCA